CUUGCCCGAACUUUGUUUGUUGGCCCAUCUCGAGAAGCUUGCAUCCAUGCACGUUUAAGGAGCAACCAGAAUUGCCUCCACCAAGACUCUUUCCUUUUCACAACAGUUUUCUUGCUUAACUUCCUGUCAUUCUUAGGGCUCUCCCUUCUGGUAAGGGGAGUUGCAUAAAGCAUCAUUGACAAUUGUUGUGAGAAUGACUCAACAAGACCAUCU
RNAcentral lists this unclassified non-coding RNA (213 nucleotides) under Hevea brasiliensis (rubber tree). The record is from RNAcentral. Lineage: Eukaryota; Viridiplantae; Streptophyta; Magnoliopsida; Malpighiales; Euphorbiaceae.